GACGAACGCUGGCGGCGUGCUUAACACAUGCAAGUCGAACGGAAAGGCCCUGCUUUUGUGGGGUGCUCGAGUGGCGAACGGGUGAGUAACUCGUGAGUAACCUGCCCUUGACUUUGGGAUAACUUCAGGAAACUGGGGCUAAUACCGGAUAGGAGCUCCUGCUGCAUGGUGGGGGUUGGAAAGUUUCGGCGGUUGGGGAUGGACUCGCGGCUUAUCAGCUUGUUGGUGGGGUAGUGGCUUACCAAGGCUUUGACGGGUAGCCGGCCUGAGAGGGUGACCGGCCACAUUGGGACUGAGAUACGGCCCAGACUCCUACGGGAGGCAGCAGUGGGGAAUAUUGCACAAUGGGCGGAAGCCUGAUGCAGCAACGCCGCGUGCGGGAUGACGGCCUUCGGGUUGUAAACCGCUUUCGCCUGUGACGAAGCGUGAGUGACGGUAAUGGGUAAAGAAGCACCGGCUAACUACGUA
This 468-nucleotide ribosomal RNA is filed under the name uncultured bacterium. RNAcentral describes it as "partial 16S ribosomal RNA". It matches the Rfam family "Bacterial small subunit ribosomal RNA", at positions 28 to 507 of the family's 1533-position model. The record is from RNAcentral.